GGGGCCGUAGUCUAGCUUGGACUAGGAUGCCAGCCUGGGGUUAAAACCCCAACCACCAGAUCGCUGGUGGUCCCGGGUUCAAAUCCCGGCGGCCCCA
This 97-nucleotide transfer RNA is filed under the name Stygiolobus caldivivus. Its description in RNAcentral is "Stygiolobus sp. KN-1 tRNA-Pro". It matches the Rfam family "tRNA". From Rfam's summary of the family: Transfer RNA (tRNA) molecules are approximately 80 nucleotides in length. Their secondary structure includes four short double-helical elements and three loops (D, anti-codon, and T loops). Lineage: Archaea; Thermoproteati; Thermoproteota; Thermoprotei; Sulfolobales; Sulfolobaceae. The record is from RNAcentral.